This 253-nucleotide ribosomal RNA is filed under the name uncultured bacterium. RNAcentral's name for it is "partial 16S ribosomal RNA". It matches the Rfam family "Bacterial small subunit ribosomal RNA", at positions 524 to 776 of the family's 1533-position model. The record is from RNAcentral.
GACGUAGGGCGCGAGCGUUGUCCGGAUUUAUUGGGCGUAAAGAGCUCGUAGGCGGCUUGUCGCGUCGUCCGUGAAAACCUGGGGCUCAACCCCAGGCUUGCGGUCGAUACGGGCAGGCUGGAGUUCGGUAGGGGAGACUGGAAUUCCUGGUGUAGCGGUGAAAUGCGCAGAUAUCAGGAGGAACACCGAUGGCGAAGGCAGGUCUCUGGGCAUUAACUGACGCUGAGGAGCGAAAGCAUGGGGAGCGAACAGG